UACAGAGGGUGCAAGCGUUAAUCGGAUUUACUGGGCGUAAAGCGCGCGUAGGUGGCCAAUUAAGUCAAAUGUGAAAUCCCCGAGCUUAACUUGGGAAUUGCAUUCGAUACUGGGAAGCUAGAGUAUGGGAGAGGAUGGUAGAAUUCCAGGUGUAGCGGUGAAAUGCGUAGAGAUCUGGAGGAAUACCGAUGGCGAAGGCAGCCAUCUGGCCUAAUACUGACGCUGAGGUACGAAAGCAUGGGGAGCAAACAGG
This 253-nucleotide ribosomal RNA is filed under the name uncultured Acinetobacter sp. RNAcentral describes it as "partial 16S ribosomal RNA". It matches the Rfam family "Bacterial small subunit ribosomal RNA", at positions 524 to 776 of the family's 1533-position model. Lineage: Bacteria; Pseudomonadati; Pseudomonadota; Gammaproteobacteria; Moraxellales; Moraxellaceae. The record is from RNAcentral.